AGGUGGAAACACUUCUCGAUCAGCUGAAAACUGUGGGGUUUUCAUACUGCGUUAGAAGUAGUCGUUUUAAAGAGCCUUCUUCAGAUGUUAUGAAAAGUAAAACAAAGCAUUUCUUCAAGCAAAUGCAGGGACAUGUCCCUAUCCCCUUUUUUGGUUGUGCAUUUGCAGUGGAGAGUGUGUGGUCGAGGCACUGUGUUUUGGGGCCAAAAUACUAUAAAAGUAAAGAGUCUAGUGUACCUGAGCACUUGGAAGACCAUGUGACUCCUCGUAAGAGAUUGAGGAUCAUGGAUACUAGAA
Long non-coding RNA from Schistocerca nitens (vagrant locust), 297 nucleotides. RefSeq lists it as uncharacterized. The record is from RefSeq and is a predicted model, not a curated record. NCBI's taxonomy places the organism in Eukaryota, Metazoa, Arthropoda, Insecta, Orthoptera, Acrididae. The transcript has 3 exons.